This is a non-coding RNA of Gossypium raimondii (Peruvian cotton), 145 nucleotides long. The record is from Rfam. NCBI's taxonomy places the organism in Eukaryota, Viridiplantae, Streptophyta, Magnoliopsida, Malvales, Malvaceae.
UAUUAAAAAUUUCAUCCAUUUCUACUAUUAAAAUUUGAUGUGGUUAACUAGAAAACUAGGUAGUGGCAUGUGGCAUACUAUGUGUAUCUCAUGCUGACUUACAAGGAUCAAUUUUUACCAGUAUAAAUAGAUGAAAUUUUUAACA